ACCAGGAUGGCCGAGUGGUUAAGGCGUUGGACUUAAGAUCCAAUGGACGUAUGUCCGCGUGGGUUCGAACCCUACUUCUGGUA
Molecule: transfer RNA, 83 nt
Filed under: Capitella teleta
Lineage: Eukaryota; Metazoa; Annelida; Polychaeta; Capitellidae
Description: tRNA-Leu for anticodon UAA
Rfam family: tRNA
About the family: Transfer RNA (tRNA) molecules are approximately 80 nucleotides in length. Their secondary structure includes four short double-helical elements and three loops (D, anti-codon, and T loops).
Source: Rfam by way of RNAcentral